Molecule: long non-coding RNA, 1107 nt
Filed under: Macaca mulatta (Rhesus monkey)
Lineage: Eukaryota; Metazoa; Chordata; Mammalia; Primates; Cercopithecidae
Description: lncRNA (ENSMMUG00000059507.1)
Source: RNAcentral
CCAAAAGUAAAAAGCAUUUUAUUAACCUACAAUUUGUUUUUAACUAACGCACACAAAAGCAUUUUAAAUAAAUCACAAUAGAACUUAACCUUGGGAAAACUGAGUAUCAAUAUGCAGAUGCGAUCAAAAUAGGAUUUUAUGGAAAAAGGUGAGGACAGUUUCAUAAAACCUAAGGAAGAAUUUCAAGAGGACAGUUUGUACAUACAAAAAUAUGCCUGAGGCUGGGCACGGUGGCCCAUUCUUGUACUCCUAGCACUUUGGGAGGCUGAGGCGGGAGGAUUGCUUGAGCCCAGGAGUUUGAGACCAGCCUGAGCAACAUUGAGAGACCUCAUCUCUGCAAAAAAUAAACAAAAUUAGCUGGGUGUGGUGGUACAUGCCUGUAGUCCCAGCUACUCAGGAGACUUAAGUGGGAGGAUUGCUUGAGCCAGGGAAGUCGAGGUUGCAGUAGCCUGAGAUCACAGCACUGCACUCCAGCCUGCAUGAUAGAGUGAGACCCUGUCUCACAAAACAAACAAAAAUAUGCCUGAAAGGAUAGUUUUCAUACUGCUUACUACUUUACAGUUGAGUAGGCAUGUAUAUGUCCAACAGGCAUCUGAAAAUACACACUUAUUUGUGGACAAAAUUCUGUUAAUUAUCUAAUUGUGAAACAUGCAACAUAGUCCCAAUCAUGUCAAAGUCUCCAACGAAAAUUUAAAAUGUAUCUUAUUUGGAAGGACUACAAACUUUAAUAUUUCUGUACAAUAUUAUAAAACGAAACCCAGUAUGUGGCCUGAUUUAUAUAUAUAACCACAUGGAAUUCUAUACUGAAGCCCAACAAAACUUCCAUUACCCUCCACAUCCAUAAUUUAUCCUUCGCUCUUUCUGCCAAUCAAAGGUGUUGGACAAUGAUUUGAGGUCUUAUUCUGAACUUUUGAAUGAGAGGUGCCCCAUCAGCUGGACUUCUCCUGAGUGUUGAAAAGGGCAUCUUUGUAACUAUGACUCCUGAGAAGAUUCUGUUUUCAGUCUUAAAACAGGAAUGGGGGAAAAAUGCAGGCCUCGGGAAGUACAAAAAGGGGAAACCAAAGGAGACAAGGGAGUUACUGUAGAUUUUGCAGGGCUGAGGAAAGU